Molecule: long non-coding RNA, 500 nt
Organism: Oncorhynchus keta (chum salmon)
Lineage: Eukaryota; Metazoa; Chordata; Actinopteri; Salmoniformes; Salmonidae
Exons: 3
Source: RefSeq, a predicted model, not a curated record
UGAUCUGAAAGUCCUCUCAAUGAGCUACAACAGGUCAGUGGUGAUCUGAAAGUCCUCUCAAUGAGCUACAACAGGCCAGUGGUGAUCUGAAAGUCCUCUCAAUGAGUUACAACAGGUCAGUGGUGAUCUGAAAGUCCUCUCAAUGAGCUACAACAGGUCAGUGGUGAUCUGAAAGUCCUCUCAAUGAGCUACAACAGGUCAGUGGUGAUCUGAAAGUCCUCUCAAUGAGCUACAACAGGUCAGUGGUGAUCUGAAAGUCCUCUCAAUGAGCUACAACAGGUCAGUGGUGAUCUGAAAGUCCUCUCAAUGAGCUACAACAGGUCAGUGGUGAUCUGAAAGUCCUCUCAAUGAGCUACAACAGGUCAGUGGUGAUCUGAAAGUCCUCGAUGAGUUACAACAGGUCAGUGGUGAUCUGAAAGUCCUCGAUGAGUUACAACAGGUCAGUGGUGAUCUGAAACAUGAGUUACAACAGGUCAGUGGUGAUCUGAAAGUCCUCUCAA